This is an RNA transcript of Etheostoma spectabile (orangethroat darter), 4651 nucleotides long. It is a transcript of the gene named sodium channel, voltage-gated, type II, beta, with no coding region annotated. The record is from RefSeq and is a predicted model, not a curated record. Lineage: Eukaryota; Metazoa; Chordata; Actinopteri; Perciformes; Percidae. The transcript has 6 exons.
CCCUCCUCCACUAACGUCAACCAACCGACAACCAUGAGAUCGACCGUCGUAAGGCUACAGACACUGCCAGCCAUGUCCUGCCUCUUAAACAAAACAAAAAAUUACUGUUUUUAGCAUUUUAACGCACACACAAAGAGCAGACUUGAUGCUCUUUUUUUUCUAGAGAUAUAAGCGUCAUUUUUUAAAUAAUAAGGAUAAACAAUGUCUUCCCGCACGCAGGAGAGGAGGUCUGGCGUUCAGCUGGUGAGCGCGGCGCUGCUGCUGCUCUCGCUCUCCGGUGUUUCAAGCAUGGAUGUGCUCAUUCCAAAUAACAUUAAUGCACUGAAUGGAACAACUAUCAAAAUCCCCUGCACAUUUACUUCCUGCUAUAAGAUGGAUGUUAGCAGGUUUGCCAUGAACUGGACCUACCAAGAAACACUUAAUGAUACAGAAGACAUGUUUAUGACAUUCAAUAAGAAGAGAGGAAUGGUGCCUCUGCUUUCAGACCGGUUUGGAGACAGGGUGAUGUUUGCCGGAAACCUAGAUAAGAACGACCUGUCAAUCACCUUAUCAAAUGUUCAGAUCGAGGAUGAGGGGAUUUACAACUGCUAUGUGAGAAACCCCCCAGACCGCAUCCAGGGACAUGGUGUCAUACAGCUCAUUGUCGUUACUGAACUUCCCCCUCCGAGGGAUUCAACCAUCGCAGUUGCAAUUGGGGCAUCAGUGGGUGGAGCAUUAGCUCUGCUGAUCCUUUCCAUGGUUGUAGUGAAAUGUCUUCGUCGACACAGGAAACAGGAACUGAUUUCAGAGGAGAAGACGGAGGAGGAGGGAAAACUGGAGGCUGAAGGUGUUGCAGAGGAGGGAACCAAACAACCAUAGCUGGGUCAUCUGAUUGAACCAACGGCUUGUGGAGCUCUCACCCCCAACAUCUUGACAUGUGCACCCCCUUCCUGAAGAUCUAUAGUAACUACUGAUUUAAUCAUUGUCCACCGAUACCGUGUGUGUGUGUGUGGGUUGUUGUGUGUGGUUUGUUGUGUGGUGUGUGUGUGUUUGUGUUUGGUGUGUGUGUGUGUGUGUGUGUGGUGUGUGUGGGUGUGUCGUGUGUGUGUGUGUGUGUGUGUGUGUGUGUGCGCGCGCGUGCCAGUGCAGGCAAGUGUGCUUUUUUUGUACAGUAUGUGUGUGUACUGAUGCGUAUUUCUACAGGUCUGUGUGAGAUGUGUCUUUUUCCUCCAAAUAAGCCAGUGGACACUUUUCUGCAACUUAACCAUUAAACACAAAUUACUUCAUUCAGUGGCACUAGAAGUAGCUCACAUAAUAAUAAAUGGCAUUUCAUUGCACACUAUAGGACAGGGUAGGGAUGGGCGGUAUGACCUAAAAUGUAUACCACAGUAUAAUUUUAAUAUAAAACGGUAACAAUAUCACAGCAUCACAAUAUCUAAUUGGAUUGCCUGUAGUUAAAUCUAUUAUUAAUAACGUUACUAGUGGCUGUGGAGGCAGAGCUGCAUACUUGAUGGAAGUUAAAAGGUGCACACUGCAUAGUAAAUGUUGAGUGUAUAUCUAUCAUGUGAUGGUAAAUUGUGCAGUUUGCGCCACUGUUUCACAACAGCUUUUUUUGUGGGGGUGAAAUUUUUUGGUUUAACAUACUAUGAAUCAAGUGUCUUGCGACAUUGCCUUAAAGCAAUGUCUCUCAACUGCCUUUAUAGGCACCAUGUCUUACCAUUGGGGCACAGUUAGUGCAUGUGUAUGUCCUUUCACCACUGGCUUUUCUUAUCUUGAGACAACUGAUUGUCAGUAACUCAACCAAAUGAUGUUUACUGUACAUGUCUCAAUGAUUAGCCAAAAAGCAUUCUGAAACAUUCCUCAUGCCUGUGGAAGGUUUUAUUGCAAAAACUAUUGCCCUGCAUAGUCAACAGAAUCUGUUAUGUACUUUGCUUAAUAGACCUAUUUUCACAGCAGACGUGUUGACUUGUCAUAGAAGGAAAAGCACAGGUGUACUACUAAAAUUAACAAUGGUUCUGUUCUAUUCAAGCCAAGACAGUAGCUAUGUCCGAAAACACUCCCUAUUUACUAUAUAGUGCACUAUAUUUACCCUCCGCCAUUUUCUGAAUUUUGAGUAUGUAAAAAGCAUGCACUAUACAGUGCUCUCAAAAAUUCAAUACCACUAUGGAACAAAAAAGUACUUUUGUUUUGGCUUUUUGAAGUUGUGAAAAUUACAGUCCCAUGAUAUUUAGUGGUAACAUAAAAUUAUCAUGAAGUGUCUGAAAUUUUAUAUUUGGAGUAGUGAAUAAACAAGGGAGCAAUUUCAGACAGAGCCAGUGUGACAAUGAGCCAGCAUGAACAAUACCAGUACCCUGAAACUGAAGCAGCUAAAUGGAAUGUCAGGUGUGGAUUAGUCAGGUGGCCUAAAUUAACAACUGCAUGCAGUGAGUUGAAAUGCUUCUGCAGUACUUACUGGCAGUACUUCCAUUAUAAAUACAAAUACAAACUAAUACAAACAGCAUAGCCAAAUCUUAAUUACUACUAAUAUGUCAAUAGUGGUUAUAUUGCCCACUCGUAUGACAGCUAAGUUUGCCUCCAUCCCGGCCCUAUCUAGUGGAAUGAUAUGCCUGAUUACAGAAGUUUGAGUAGCAUGCAACUAUUUAAGUUGAGUCUGUUAUUUACAGGGUUAAAAGAAGUUUUUAUAGACUGCAGACUUUGCAUUGGGAAAAUUAUCAGUGACAGUGUUGACAUAUCCUCGGACGGAUUCUUUCCUACAGUUCAAAUGAAGUUAGCACUGAAUGAGAAGUAUGUUGUUAGAGAUAUACUAAAGUAAAUUAUUGUUGACAUCAUGACAGCAUUUUUGUCAAAGUCAAAAACAUGUCGAAGACAAUUUAAAGGGAAAAACUCCUAUUACAGCCACAAACACAUAAUUCCUGUUAGAGCCAAACUAUUAUUAAUGUUUAUGGUAGGAAUUAAUAAAGUAUGCCCUAACAGAAGACUACGCACAGACCGGUGACCAAAUGAUCCAAAUUAAAUAUAUGAAGCCUAUGUCCAUAACUGAGAGACAGAGAAGAGAUUACUGACAAAAAACGGGUACAAUUUGUUAUUUUGGCAACUAAAGCAUGUACAUUGUACUAUACUGCCAUGACUGCAUGUCAAACAGUGCAUAUCAGAAAGAAAAAUAUUAUUUAAAAAACAAAAGUAAGUAACUUCCAUAAAACCAGAGCAAUGUGUGCCAAAGCUAUAGCAUGUUUAAGCUUUCACUCUAUCAAUCAGGUGGCACCAUUUGUCAAUACAUACAGUAUAUACAGUAGUAUUUUGCAUGCAUAUUUGAUUCAUAAAGUCUCAUUAAUAUUUGGUUGCACAUCGAUGAGUUUCAUCUGCCUCCUGUAAAAUAUCAACAAAAUAAUUAAAGUUUCAAUAUGUCAUAAUAUAAAGAAAACAAAAAAGCUUCCGCACAAAUUAUCUACGUCUUUUUAUUCUAACUCCAACUGGAGUCAAACUGGAGCCCUAUUUUAUAGAGAUUUAAAAAUAGAAACACUUUAAACUGAGCCGUUGCUCGUCAAUAAAACACAUUUUAGUGUUUAUUUUAAAGCAGAUUAAUAUAAUAAAAUUAUACCGAUUUUAAAACUUACAUCCAAGCUUUGUCUCCAAAGUAAUACGUUUACCUCAACUCUGUUGAUAUUGUUUUGCACAUUGACACAUUUAUACCAAUUCUAAUAUAAUCCUAGUAGAGAGCAUGUGAAUAUAAUGGAAAAAAGGAAAGCAUAUAAAGCACACUUUAAUAAGAUAGUAUAUUGGAAUGUGUGGCUGUGGGGCAUGGUGAUUGUACGGUUAAAUGGGAAAUGUAUUGUGGUGUGGUGAAUUGUUUUAUAAUCUAUUUGAUUGGAGCACCUUAAAUGUUAAAAAUGAAUUAUAUUCUUUUGAAUAGAUCACUAUUUAUUAUUGUCUUCUUUUACAUGUUGCAGCAUGUAAGCUUUGUUUGUCUCUGAAUGUCCUAUGACGUUAUAACUUAAAGGGUGUGAUGACAGGCCAGCGGCCACAGUGAUGCCUCUAUGAUACCUGUAAUGUUUAAGCUGGUUAGCUGGGUCAUCCAAAUAUUGAAGCGUGGUUGGCAUUUCCAAAUCUGGUGGCUUGGCCGGUCCUGGUUUCUGAUAUUGUCUAAAAAAAAAAAACAUUGUACAGGUUUGUGUUCAUGCCUGUUACUUAAUAGGGUAUUUUUAUUUUUAUUAUUUAAAAUUGUAUGAUUAUCGGUGGUGUAUUGAGUGAUCAGUCUGGUAAUUGUUGAGUUAGUUGGCUAGGGGAACACUAUCUGUAAUAGGACACUGAUGUCUGUGUGGGAUCAUGCACGUUUAAGUUGCUGGGUUUGUGUGGUUGACCCACAGACUGAUGACAGGUUAACAUUUGGGGCAAAUUUAAUGCAGUUUUUUUAACCAGGGAGGUUUUGUAUAUACUGUAUUUCUCAAUCACAAACAAUUAAACAAACAAAACAUUAAUACUGUGUAAUGUAUUAGACAGAUUAAACAUUGUGAAUCCAUUACCAUCUCUGGCUAGGAGUUUGGCCUAAACAGUUUCUCUUGUAUCACUUUAAAUGUUAGUGAACACCAAACUAAUGCUUGCACCAUGCUGCUUUUGAACAAGCAGCUGUCAUUACAUUAUGUAUUUUAAAUAAAGAUUAUUUGGGAAAAUGUCA